Molecule: ribosomal RNA, 309 nt
Filed under: Bacillus paranthracis
Lineage: Bacteria; Bacillati; Bacillota; Bacilli; Caryophanales; Bacillaceae
Description: bacterial SSU rRNA
Rfam family: Bacterial small subunit ribosomal RNA
Source: RNAcentral
UUAUUGGAGAGUUUGAUCCUGGCUCAGGAUGAACGCUGGCGGCGUGCCUAAUACAUGCAAGUCGAGCGAACGGAUUAAGAGCUUGCUCUUAUGAAGUUAGCGGCGGACGGGUGAGUAACACGUGGGUAACCUGCCCAUAAGACUGGGAUAACUCCGGGAAACCGGGGCUAAUACCGGAUAAUAUUUUGAACUGCAUGGUUCGAAAUUGAAAGGCGGCUUCGGCUGUCACUUAUGGAUGGACCCGCGUCGCAUUAGCUAGUUGGUGAGGUAACGGCUCACCAAGGCAACGAUGCGUAGCCGACCUGAGAG